RNAcentral lists this ribosomal RNA (267 nucleotides) under uncultured bacterium. RNAcentral's name for it is "partial 16S ribosomal RNA". It matches the Rfam family "Bacterial small subunit ribosomal RNA", at positions 333 to 592 of the family's 1533-position model. The record is from RNAcentral.
UGAUCCCUACGGGAGGCAGCAGUAGGGAAUUUUCGUCAAUGGGCGCAAGCCUGAACGAGCAAUGCCGCGUGAACGAGGAAGGUUUUCGGAUCGUAAAGUUCUGUUGAAGGGGAAAAAGAGCGGAGAGAGGAAAUGAACUCCGAUUGAUAUUACCCUUCGAGGAAGCACCGGCUAACUCCGUGCCAGCAGCCGCGGUAAUACGGAGGGUGCGAGCGUUAAUCGGAAUCACUGGGCGUAAAGCGCGCGUAGCCGGCUUUUCAAGUCAGG